GAACACGGGAUUCCUCAGUAACGGCGAGUGAAGCGGUAACAGCUCAAAUUUGAAAUCUGGCCUCACGGUCCGAGUUGUAAUUUGUAGAGGAUGCUUCGAGCAUGGUCUGGCCUAAGCUCCUUGGAACAGGACGUCAUAGAGGGUGAGAAUCCCGUAUGCGGCCAGGUGCCUACGCUCAUGUGAAGCUCCUUCGACGAGUCGAGUUGUUUGGGAAUGCAGCUCAAAAUGGGUGGUAAAUUUCAUCUAAAGCUAAAUAUUGGCCAGAGACCGAUAGCGCACAAGUAGAGUGAUCGAAAGAUGAAAAGCACUUUGGAAAGAGAGUUAAACAGUACGUGAAAUUGUUGAAAGGGAAGCGCUUGCAACCAGACUUGCGCGCGGCCGAUCAUCCGGUGUUCUCACCGGUGCACUCGGCCGUGCUCAGGCCAGCAUCGGUUUUGGCGGCUGGAUAAAGGCCCUAGGAAUGUAGCUCCUCUCGGGGAGUGUUAUAGCCUAGGGUGCAAUGCAGCCUGCUGGGACCGAGGACCGCGCUUCGGCUAGGAUGCUGGCGUAAUGGUUGUAAGCGGCCCGUCUUGAAACACGGACCAAGGAGUCUAACAUCUAUGCGAGUGUUUGGGUGUCAAACCCAUACGCGUAAUGAAAGUGUACGGAGGUGAGAACCCUUAA
RNAcentral lists this ribosomal RNA (663 nucleotides) under uncultured fungus. RNAcentral describes it as "LSU rRNA". It matches the Rfam family "Eukaryotic large subunit ribosomal RNA", at positions 66 to 748 of the family's 3401-position model. Lineage: Eukaryota; Fungi. The record is from RNAcentral.